RNAcentral lists this ribosomal RNA (253 nucleotides) under uncultured bacterium. Its description in RNAcentral is "partial 16S ribosomal RNA". It matches the Rfam family "Bacterial small subunit ribosomal RNA", at positions 524 to 776 of the family's 1533-position model. The record is from RNAcentral.
UACGUAGGGGGCAAGCGUUGUCCGGAUUUAUUGGGCGUAAAGAGCGUGUAGGCGGCCAGACAGGUCAGCUGUGAAAACUCGAGGCUCAACCUCGAGACGUCGGUUGAAACCGUCUGGCUAGAGUCCGGAAGAGGAGAGUGGAAUUCCCGGUGUAGCGGUGAAAUGCGCAGAUAUCGGGAAGAACACCAGUGGCGAAGGCGACUCUUUGGCCUGUAACUGACGCUGAGGCGCGAAAGCGUGGGGAGCAAACAGG